This 468-nucleotide ribosomal RNA is filed under the name uncultured bacterium. RNAcentral's name for it is "partial 16S ribosomal RNA". It matches the Rfam family "Bacterial small subunit ribosomal RNA", at positions 28 to 507 of the family's 1533-position model. The record is from RNAcentral.
GACGAACGCUGGCGGCGUGCUUAACACAUGCAAGUCGAACGGAAAGGCCCUGCUCUUGUGGGGUGCUCGAGUGGCGAACGGGUGAGUAACACGUGAGUAACCUGCCCUUGACUUUGGGAUAACGUCAGGAAACUGGGGCUAAUACCGGAUAGGAGCUCCUGCUGCAUGGUGGGGGUUGGAAAGUUUCGGCGGUUGGGGAUGGACUCGCGGCUUAUCAGCUUGUUGGUGGGGUAGUGGCUUACCAAGGCUUUGACGGGUAGCCGGCCUGAGAGGGUGACCGGCGACAUUGGGACUGAGAUACGGCCCAGACUCCUACGGGAGGCAGCAGUGGGGAAUAUUGCACAAUGGGCGGAAGCCUGAUGCAGCAACGCCGCGUGCGGGAUGACGGCCUUCGGGUUGUAAACCGCUUUCGCCUGAGACGAAGCGUGAGUGACGGUAAUGGGUAAAGAAGCACCGGCUAACUACGUG